RNAcentral lists this ribosomal RNA (929 nucleotides) under Lactiplantibacillus plantarum. Its description in RNAcentral is "bacterial SSU rRNA". It matches the Rfam family "Bacterial small subunit ribosomal RNA", at positions 185 to 1091 of the family's 1533-position model. The record is from RNAcentral. Lineage: Bacteria; Bacillati; Bacillota; Bacilli; Lactobacillales; Lactobacillaceae.
ACCGCAUGGUCCGAGCUUGAAAGAUGGCUUCGGCUAUCACUUUUGGAUGGUCCCGCGGCGUAUUAGCUAGAUGGUGGGGUAACGGCUCACCAUGGCAAUGAUACGUAGCCGACCUGAGAGGGUAAUCGGCCACAUUGGGACUGAGACACGGCCCAAACUCCUACGGGAGGCAGCAGUAGGGAAUCUUCCACAAUGGACGAAAGUCUGAUGGAGCAACGCCGCGUGAGUGAAGAAGGGUUUCGGCUCGUAAAACUCUGUUGUUAAAGAAGAACAUAUCUGAGAGUAACUGUUCAGGUAUUGACGGUAUUUAACCAGAAAGCCACGGCUAACUACGUGCCAGCAGCCGCGGUAAUACGUAGGUGGCAAGCGUUGUCCGGAUUUAUUGGGCGUAAAGCGAGCGCAGGCGGUUUUUUAAGUCUGAUGUGAAAGCCUUCGGCUCAACCGAAGAAGUGCAUCGGAAACUGGGAAACUUGAGUGCAGAAGAGGACAGUGGAACUCCAUGUGUAGCGGUGAAAUGCGUAGAUAUAUGGAAGAACACCAGUGGCGAAGGCGGCUGUCUGGUCUGUAACUGACGCUGAGGCUCGAAAGUAUGGGUAGCAAACAGGAUUAGAUACCCUGGUAGUCCAUACCGUAAACGAUGAAUGCUAAGUGUUGGAGGGUUUCCGCCCUUCAGUGCUGCAGCUAACGCAUUAAGCAUUCCGCCUGGGGAGUACGGCCGCAAGGCUGAAACUCAAAGGAAUUGACGGGGGCCCGCACAAGCGGUGGAGCAUGUGGUUUAAUUCGAAGCUACCCGAAGAACCUUACCAGGUCUUGACAUACUAUGCAAAUCUAAAAAAAUAAGACGUUCCUUUCGGGGACAUGGAAUACAGGUUGGGGCAAGGUUUUUCCUCCGCUCCGUGCCGGGAGAAUGUUGGGUUUAAGUCCCCGCA